UACGAGAGGCCCAAACGUUAUUCGGAUUUACUGGGCUUAAAGAGUUCGUAGGCGGCGCGGAAAGUGGGGUGUGAAAGCCCUCGGCUCAACCGAGGAACUGCGCUUCAAACUACCGUGCUUGAGGAAGCUAGAGGUGAGCGGAACUGAAGGUGGAGCGGUGAAAUGCGUUGAUAUCUUCAGGAACACCGGAGGCGAAGGCGGCUCACUGGGGCUUUUCUGACGCUGAGGAACGAAAGCCAGGGGAGCAAACGGG
RNAcentral lists this ribosomal RNA (253 nucleotides) under uncultured bacterium. RNAcentral describes it as "partial 16S ribosomal RNA". It matches the Rfam family "Bacterial small subunit ribosomal RNA", at positions 524 to 776 of the family's 1533-position model. The record is from RNAcentral.